UCCGGUAGUGCUGAAAGA
Molecule: unclassified non-coding RNA, 18 nt
Filed under: Mus musculus (house mouse)
Lineage: Eukaryota; Metazoa; Chordata; Mammalia; Rodentia; Muridae
Description: oocyte_clustered_small_RNA7322
Source: RNAcentral